Molecule: ribosomal RNA, 254 nt
Filed under: uncultured bacterium
Lineage: Bacteria
Description: partial 16S ribosomal RNA
Rfam family: Bacterial small subunit ribosomal RNA
Source: RNAcentral
UACGUAGGUGGCAAGCGUUGUCCGGAUUUACUGGGCGUAAAGAGCUCGUAGGCGGUUGGGUAAGUCGGGUGUGAAAACUCCAGGCUCAACUUGGAGAUGCCACCCGAUACUGCUCUGACUUGAGUUCGGUAGGGGAGUGGGGAAUUCCUGGUGUAGCGGUGAAAUGCGCAGAUAUCAGGAGGAACACCGGUGGCGAAGGCGCCACUCUGGGCCGAAACUGACGCUGAGGAGCGAAAGCGUGGGUAGCAAACAGG